UGGGGAAUUUUGGACAAUGGGCGAAAGCCUGAUCCAGCAAUGCCGCGUGUGUGAAGAAGGCCUUCGGGUUGUAAAGCACUUUUGUCCGGAAAGAAAUCCUUGGCUCUAAUACAGUCGGGGGAUGACGGUACCGGAAGAAUAAGCACCGGCUAACUACGUGCCAGCAGCCGCGGUAAUACGUAGGGUGCAAGCGUUAAUCGGAAUUACUGGGCGUAAAGCGUGCGCAGGCGGUUUGCUAAGACCGAUGUGAAAUCCCCGGGCUCAACCUGGGAACUGCAUUGGUGACUGGCAGGCUAGAGUAUGGCAGAGGGGGGUAGAAUUCCACGUGUAGCAGUGAAAUGCGUAGAGAUGUGGAGGAAUACCGAUGGCGAAGGCAGCCCCCUGGGCAAUACUGACGCUCAUGCACGAAAGCGUGGGGAGCAAACAGGAUUAGAUACCCUGGUAGUCCACGCCCUAAACGAUGUCACUAGUUGUUGGGGAUCAUUUCCUUAGUAACGUAGCUAACGCGUGAAGUUGACCGCCUGGGGAGUACGGUCGCAAGAUUAAAACUCAAAUGAAUUGACGGGGUCAUAGCUG
RNAcentral lists this ribosomal RNA (576 nucleotides) under uncultured bacterium. Its description in RNAcentral is "partial 16S ribosomal RNA". It matches the Rfam family "Bacterial small subunit ribosomal RNA", at positions 355 to 932 of the family's 1533-position model. The record is from RNAcentral.